Molecule: long non-coding RNA, 237 nt
Filed under: Sorghum bicolor (sorghum)
Lineage: Eukaryota; Viridiplantae; Streptophyta; Magnoliopsida; Poales; Poaceae
Description: long non-coding RNA (SBIC_LNC004152)
Source: RNAcentral
AUAGCCUAUAAUUGGGUGUGUGACCGUGCAGUUGGCUAAAUUCGGCUUAAACUAAAUUAUAAAUUUGAAAUAUUUCAAAUUUAAAAAGUAAAAAAAGUAGAAAAUAGUUGAAAAAUGUCUAAAUCAUUUUCUACUUUUAUAUUUGAAACACGAAACAUCUAAAAUACGAAAGCGAAAACGGUAAAGUCGGACAAGAAAAUACGAUUUCUAUCGGAUUAAAUAUAGAAAAUGAUGCGG